CUGAUCGGCGCGUCCGGGUCAAUUGCGGACUGCAACACCCGAUCUCCCUCGCCGUUCCUCCCGACAGGGAGGUACGCGAGGGAGAGCGCGUGACAAUCAG
This 100-nucleotide non-coding RNA is filed under the name unclassified sequences. The record is from Rfam.